AUGAACCUCCUUCGGGAGGGGAUUAGUGGCGAACGGGUGAGUAACACGUGGGCAAUCUGCCCUGCACUCUGGGACAAGCCCUGGAAACGGGGUCUAAUACCGGAUACUGAUCAUCUUGGGCAUCCUUGGUGAUCGAAAGCUCCGGCGGUGCAGGAUGAGCCCGCGGCCUAUCAGCUUGUUGGUGAGGUAAUGGCUCACCAAGGCGACGACGGGUAGCCGGCCUGAGAGGGCGACCGGCCACACUGGGACUGAGACACGGCCCAGACUCCUACGGGAGGCAGCAGUGGGGAAUAUUGCACAAUGGGCGAAAGCCUGAUGCAGCGACGCCGCGUGAGGGAUGACGGCCUUCGGGUUGUAAACCUCUUUCAGCAGGGAAGAAGCGAAAGUGACGGUACCUGCAGAAGAAGCGCCGGCUAACUACGUGCCAGCAGCCGCGGUAAUACGUAGGGCGCGAGCGUUGUCCGGAAUUAUUGGGCGUAAAGAGCUCGUAGGCGGCUUGUCGCGUCGGUUGUGAAAGCCCGGGGCUUAACCCCGGGUCUGCAGUCGAUACGGGCAGGCUAGAGUUCGGUAGGGGAGAUCGGAAUUCCUGGUGUAGCGGUGAAAUGCGCAGAUAUCAGGAGGAACACCGGUGGCGAAGGCGGAUCUCUGGGCCGAUACUGACGCUGAGGAGCGAAAGCGUGGGGAGCGAACAGGAUUAGAUACCCUGGUAGUCCACGCCGUAAACGGUGGGCACUAGGUGUGGGCGACAUUCCACGUCGUCCGUGCCGCAGCUAACGCAUUAAGUG
This 785-nucleotide ribosomal RNA is filed under the name Streptomyces sp. RNAcentral's name for it is "bacterial SSU rRNA". It matches the Rfam family "Bacterial small subunit ribosomal RNA", at positions 69 to 866 of the family's 1533-position model. The record is from RNAcentral. Lineage: Bacteria; Bacillati; Actinomycetota; Actinomycetes; Kitasatosporales; Streptomycetaceae.